RNAcentral lists this ribosomal RNA (439 nucleotides) under uncultured bacterium. Its description in RNAcentral is "partial 16S ribosomal RNA". It matches the Rfam family "Bacterial small subunit ribosomal RNA", at positions 339 to 795 of the family's 1533-position model. The record is from RNAcentral.
CUACGGGUCGCUCCAGUGGGGAAUUUUGCGCAAUGGGGGAAACCCUGACGCAGCAAUACCGCGUGAGUGAAGAAGGCCUUUGGGUCGUAAAGCUCUUUUCUUGGGGAAGAUAGUGACGGUACCCAAGGAAUAAGCACCGGCUAACUCCGUGCCAGCAGCCGCGGUAAUCCGGAGGGUGCAAGCGUUGUUCGGAUUUACUGGGCGUAAAGGGCACGUAGGCGGCACAGCAAGUUAAGGGUGAAAUCCCGGGGCUCAACUCCGGAACUGCUCUUAAAACUGCUGAGCUAGAGAUAGUCAGAGGCGGGUGGAAUUCCAGGUGUAGAGGUGAAAUUCGUAGAUAUCUGGAGGAACACCGGUGGCGAAGGCGGCCCGCUGGGGCUAUUCUGACGCUAAGGUGCGAAAGCGUGGGGAGCAAACGGGAUUAGAUACCCUUGUAGUC